RNAcentral lists this long non-coding RNA (417 nucleotides) under Olea europaea subsp. europaea. The record is from RNAcentral. Lineage: Eukaryota; Viridiplantae; Streptophyta; Magnoliopsida; Lamiales; Oleaceae.
UCCAGAUUUGGAGGCUCUCCCGUCCAUAACUCCUGUGGGGUCUUAAACCCUAUACUGCUGGAUGGAGACCUAUUAAUCAGAUAAGCUACAGUACUUGCAGCUUCAGCCCAAAAACCUUUCGCAAGGCCAGAGCUAAUCAACAUACACCUAACUUUGUUCAUUAUGGUCCUGUUCAUUCUUUCAGCGACCCCAUUUUGUUCAGGUGUGUAUUUAACAGUUCUGUGUCUUGUUAUACCUUUCUGCUUGCAGAAGUUGUCAAAUUCGCUAUUACAGAAUUCAAGCCCAUUAUCAGUUCUUAACGUUUUAAGUUUCUUAUCUAACUGAUUCUCAACAGACUUUAACCAAAUCCUGAAUUUUCCAAAAGUUUCCGACUUAGCCUUCAAAGGAUAAAUCCAAACCUUUCUUGAGUAAUCAUCC